Molecule: non-coding RNA, 757 nt
Organism: Oncorhynchus mykiss (rainbow trout)
Lineage: Eukaryota; Metazoa; Chordata; Actinopteri; Salmoniformes; Salmonidae
Source: RefSeq, a predicted model, not a curated record
AGGAGCAACAGAGGAAGGUACAUCAAGAAAAGUGAAUGCAAUACAGUACAGCGCGGAAUACCCUCUGCAUUCAACACACCUUCAGCCAUCCAACACUAGUGUGCCCCCAUGUGGUAGCCCUGAGAAAUGCAACAUUAUCUCUGCCUCUCCUAUUCUUCUAGAGAGGAAGCAGCUGUAGCCAAGAGGGGAGAGCCGGUGCUGCCAAAAACAGCAGAUCUAUACUUGGCGACCCGUCAAGCAACAGCUCUUUCUGAGAGAGCAUUGGAAUGAGUUCAACUAGCUCCCAAGCCUCUAUUAAUACCGCUAGUGUACACCAACAACUGUUUCAAAAGACAAAAGUUCUUUAUAAAGCACUUGGAUUCAUCCCGUGGUCUCACAAUAACCGACAUAAAGAGUGCUGCAAACCGUGGCAGUUCGUUUACUUACGUCCGUAUAGGAUUUCUCUGCAGCUUGUCUCCACCUACUACAAGGACAUACAGAUCUUGGAGACGGGUAAGGUGGUGGACUGUGUGACAGUGGAGCCCUACAUGCUGGGGGACUUUGUGAAUCUCACAAACAACACUACUAAAGUGGACAAGAGGUUCAAGGCCUCAGAAUACGGCAUAGACUUCAGAUAUCAGGAGACUGAAACUUGGCCGCAAGUGGAUCUUCCAGCAAGACAAUAACCUCAAGCACACAGCAAAAUCCACAAAGAAAUUGUUAAGUCUCCACACUUGAAACACAUUGAAAAAACAUGUGGUUCGAAUGGAACAGAGCU